GAAAAAGGGUUUGCACGCGUUUGGCUCCGUUUUCCAACUCCUUCCUUAGUCAUCAGCAAAACGCCCUAGCCUCCACCCAAGAAAGCAAACCCUAGCCUCCACCAAUCUUGUCGCCGUGUGUCGGAGUGAGAGACUGCUGCUGCUGCCUCCGUCGCACUCAAGAACUUCCGCCUUCGUGCUAUCGGCGUUCGUUACUUCGCUCUCACCAUCCCCUGUUCGCUCUCAUCAGUCACCUGUUCGCUCUCUAUCCCCUGUUCGCUGUCAUCAGUCGCCUGUUCGCCGUCGUCCGUUGCGCUCAACCGCUCUCCGUCGUCCGUUGCGCUCAACCGCUCUCCGUCGUCCGUCAAAGGUAACGUACUUUAAUUAGGUGUUGAAACUUCCAUCCAUGACCAGUGUCAACAGGAUGAAUUAGUUGGAUGAAUUAGUGAAAAAUCAGACCGGUGAAACACGGGCGUUGAAAAGGAGAAUGCAUCCAUUCAACAUGAGCUGGGGUUGUGACACGUAGACUGCUGAAACCGGGAUUUAAGAUAUUAACUUAGGAUAUAUUAUAAAAAUUCAAUUGAAAAAAUAAAAAAUAAAAAUUUAAUUAAAAUUUUGAUAAAAUUAUAAAAAUUAGUAAAAUAAUUAAACUAUAAAAUAACAUCUAGACCAAGUAUCCUCAUGUUGAUCAUAAUAUAUGAAUCAUCUAAUUGUAAUGAUACUUUGUAUCUAGCCAUGUUAAUCAGUGAUAACAAGAGAAUAUGCUUAUAUUUUUGGGACAGAGGGGCAAUUCAAUUGUGCGGAAAGAGAACUGACAAAAUUAUCAAAGAGGAGACAAAUUUUUAAGGGCUAAACGAUAAUUCCAAUUGAUGAUUAUUUUUGUAGUGGUUGAAGUGUCACUAACCUUUAAAGGCUAAGCGAUAAUUCCAAUUGAUGAUCAUUUUGUAGUGGUUGAAGGGUCACCUUUAACCUUUAACAUGAAUAAAGAAAGUUUGUGUAUAAUCAAUUAGAAAAAUAAUAAGAUAAGGUAGAAUGAAUCUUUGUCUAGAAUGAUACAUAAGAUUAGGUUCAAGUCAAUAAAGUGUCCCUGAAUGUGGAUGAAAUAACUGGUGAGCAACUUGAAGAUGAAGAAGAGAGAUUUGUCAUUUAUUAGGAGCAGCCAGUAGUCAAAAGGUGUAUAUAAUAUAGAGAUACUGAACUGU
This is a long non-coding RNA of Arachis ipaensis, 1181 nucleotides long. RefSeq lists it as uncharacterized. The record is from RefSeq and is a predicted model, not a curated record. NCBI's taxonomy places the organism in Eukaryota, Viridiplantae, Streptophyta, Magnoliopsida, Fabales, Fabaceae.